GUACGUUUGACGUCCGUGGACUCGAGGACGACGCUGGCGGCGUGCGUUAACACAUGCAAGUCGAACGGUGAACUCGGAGCUUGCUCCGGGGGGUCAGUGGCGAACGGGUGAGUAACACGUGAGUAACCUGCCCCAGACUCUGGGAUAACCUCGGGAAACCGGGCUAAUACCGGAUACGAGACGUUCGGGCAUCCGAAGCGUCUGGAAAGAUUUAUCGGUCUGGGAUGGACUCGCGGCCUAUCAGCUUGUUGGUGAGGUAACGGCUCACCAAGGCGACGACGGGUAGCCGGCCUGAGAGGGCGACCGGCCACACUGGAACUGAGACACGGUCCAGACUCCUACGGGAGGCAGCAGUGGGGAAUAUUGCACAAUGGGCGCAAGCCUGAUGCAGCAACGCCGCGUGGGGGAUGAAGGCCUUCGGGUUGUAAACCCCUUUUAGCAGGGAAGAAGCGAAAGUGACGGUACCUGCAGAAAAAGCGUCGGCUAACUACGUG
Molecule: ribosomal RNA, 494 nt
Filed under: uncultured Demequina sp.
Lineage: Bacteria; Bacillati; Actinomycetota; Actinomycetes; Micrococcales; Demequinaceae
Description: bacterial SSU rRNA
Rfam family: Bacterial small subunit ribosomal RNA
Source: RNAcentral